AUACGAGGGGAGCAAGCGUUGUCCGGAUUUAUUGGGCGUAAAGGGCGUGUAGGCGGAUUGACAAGUCAGGUUUUAAAGAAUACGGCUCAACCGUAUCAAUGGGUCUGAUACUGUCAGUCUUGAAUUCGAGAGAGGGAAGCGGAAUUCCUGGUGUAGCGGUGAAAUGCCAUGAUAUCAGGAGGAACACCGGUGGCGAAGGCGGCUUCCUGGCUCGACAUUGACGCUGAGGCGCGAAAGCGUGGGUAGCGAACAGGAUUAGAAACCCCAGUAGUCC
RNAcentral lists this ribosomal RNA (274 nucleotides) under uncultured bacterium. RNAcentral's name for it is "partial 16S ribosomal RNA". It matches the Rfam family "Bacterial small subunit ribosomal RNA", at positions 523 to 796 of the family's 1533-position model. The record is from RNAcentral.